UUCCAAAGAAAGGUACUGUGGAGGGC
This 26-nucleotide non-coding RNA is filed under the name Callithrix jacchus (white-tufted-ear marmoset). RNAcentral also lists the same sequence under 2 other names. Lineage: Eukaryota; Metazoa; Chordata; Mammalia; Primates; Cebidae. The record is from RNAcentral.